CCACCCCCGGCCCCAGGCAGCAGUACCUCCAAGGCCUGGGCGGCAGGAAAGGGAGAGAUGACGUCAUUGCCGCCUGGAAUCUGCUGUUUGGAGGCGUCGCCAUGGAGACCGGAAGGCUCAGGGAAGGGGACCCUGCACCAUCUUGGCUGGGGUUGUAGCAGAUGCUCUGGUGUCCUGUGGCUCCUCCGCCCCACCCUCACAGCGCCCCACUGCAGGGCUGCAGUCAGAAGCCUCAGGUUGCAGCCUGCCCGACAGCUCAAGCUCAGCAGGGCCGAAUGGAGAAUGUGUACCUCCUCCUCCUAACAUUGUUAAAAAUAAAAUUUGUAUUUUGACACAAUCUCAAGCUUAUAGAAAAGUUGCAAGAAUAGUACAGGAACUUUUUUUCCCCUGAAGCAUUUGAGGGUUUGUUGCCGCAUGGUGCUCACCACACCCCAAAACAAGGACAUUCUCCUACACGCCCCAACACGGCUGUCCAAGGCGGGAAAUCACGUGGAGUCAGACCCCACUCUGGGCUUUCUGGUUGUCCCAGUAAUAUCCCUUGCAGUAAAGAGAUCAGCCUGGGACCACACAUUGCACUGAGGUGCCAUCAUGUCUUCUGUCUCCUUCGGUCCGGAACAUUCCUGGGCCUUUCCCUGACUGUUCUUUGAAGCUUCCAGGCCAGGCCUUUUGGAGACGGUUCCCUGUGUGGCUUUGUCUGAGAUGUCAUCACAGAGAGACACAGGUUGUGCAUCUUUGGCAGGAAAGGAGCAGAUGUGACACUGUGGUCUGCUCACCCCACCCUGUCAGGUGGGGCAGGACUCUGAUGGAUCCAGUAUCAAUGGAGCCCACCGCGAUCGCUCGGUUAAGGUGGGGUCUGUGUCUCCGCUGGAACUGACAUUCUUUUUCCCUUUGUGACAAAUUAGCAUUUUGUGGGGAAGAUUCCUCCCUCCCUCCCUCGUUCCUCCCUCUCUCCCCCUCUCUUUUUUAGAGACAGGGUCUCACUCUGUUGUCCUGGCUGAAGUGCACUGAUGCUAUCCUAGCUCACUGCAGCCUCGGACUCCUUGGCUCAACCAAUCCUCCUUCCUCAGCUUCCUGAGUUGCUGGGACCACAGGUGCAUGCCAUCAUGCAUAGCUACUUUUUGUUAUUGUUGUUGUUUGUUUUAUUUUUGAGACAGGGUCUUGCUCUGUUGCCCAGGCUGGCAUGUAGUGGCAACAUGACAGCUCACUGCAGCCUUGACCUCCUGGGCUCAAGUGAUCCUCCUGUCUCAGUCUCUCAAGUAUCUGGGACUACAGGCCUGCACCACCACACUUAGCUGAUUUUUAAAUUUUUUUAGAAGUAGGGUCUCUAUGUUGCCCAGGCUGGUCACGAACUCCUGGGCUCAAGCAGCCGUUCCACCUUGGCCUCCCCAGAAGUGCUGGGAUUACAGGCAUGAGCCACCAUGCCCAGCUGAUACGUUUAAAAUAUGCAAAUAGCUCUUUUUAAAUUUUCAAUUCAUUAAUAUAUUUUAAUAAAUAUUAAAAUAUGUAUA
Molecule: long non-coding RNA, 1508 nt
Filed under: Homo sapiens (human)
Lineage: Eukaryota; Metazoa; Chordata; Mammalia; Primates; Hominidae
Description: HSALNT0289766
Source: RNAcentral